GACAGAGGUGCCGAGCGUUAGGCGGAAUCACUGGGCUUAAAGCGUGUGUAGGCGGACCGUUAAGUACCUUGUGAAAUCCCACGGCUCAACCGUGGAACGGCUGGGUAUACUGGCGGUCUUGGGCCACCUAGGGGCAGCCGGAACAAGCGGUGGAGCGGUGAAAUGCGUAGAUAUCGCUUGGAACGCCGACGGCGAAAGCAGGCUGCUGGGGGUGUGCCGACGCUGAGACACGAAAGCUAGGGGAGCGAACAGG
Molecule: ribosomal RNA, 253 nt
Filed under: uncultured bacterium
Lineage: Bacteria
Description: partial 16S ribosomal RNA
Rfam family: Bacterial small subunit ribosomal RNA
Source: RNAcentral